This 27-nucleotide non-coding RNA is filed under the name Rattus norvegicus (Norway rat). Lineage: Eukaryota; Metazoa; Chordata; Mammalia; Rodentia; Muridae. The record is from RNAcentral.
UCACAUGGCUUAAGCGCGUGAGAAGAC